Molecule: long non-coding RNA, 675 nt
Filed under: Equus caballus (horse)
Lineage: Eukaryota; Metazoa; Chordata; Mammalia; Perissodactyla; Equidae
Description: lncRNA (ENSECAG00000051374.1)
Source: RNAcentral
CAUCGUUUUGCAGGUCAGGAAACUGAUAUUGAAAGACUGUCUUGCCUAAAGUUGAACCAUAGGAGUGAAAUAUGAAUGUUCAAGCUCAUCAAUUCAUGGCUCUCUAUGCUUUGAGGGUCCCAUUCUGCAUACACUUGAUGCAAAAGCGUCCAAGGGCAUCUUCUUUGAGAAAAGGUCAAAUUACAGGAGAUGCCUAUGCUGCAGGGGAGCCUGGAAACAUAGGAUACAAGUAGCAAUCACAUCCACAGGCUUCAUCCUGCAUAAAUGAUCCAUCAUCUCCUUGAAGAAAGGCUACAGGGGGAACUAGAUGGGGAACCACACUGUUCUUGUAAUGUGACUGGAUGCUGUGGUUCUGUGCUGAUGUGUUUGAUCCCUGCUCCUAGAGGUACCAACACUGUUACUAUUUCAUAUUUAAGAAGCUGCUGCAACUGGCUGGUAUUAAGCCAGGGCUCUAUUGAUAACCAGGACAAUUUUGUUAAAGCUACCUCUGAUGUCUUAUCAUAAACCUACAGCUAUCAUUCCUCUUACUUCUAGUAAGAAACUAUGUCCUCCACAUCUCCUUUCCAGGAAUUCACAGACCAUCGUGCAUAGACCACACCUGAGUCCACAUCUCCUUUCCAGGAAUUCAUGGACCAUCUUGUAAAGACCACAUCUGAGUUCACGGCAGAGCACCAG